This is a long non-coding RNA of Mauremys mutica (yellowpond turtle), 4050 nucleotides long. RefSeq lists it as uncharacterized. The record is from RefSeq and is a predicted model, not a curated record. The transcript is spliced from 6 exons. Lineage: Eukaryota; Metazoa; Chordata; Testudines; Geoemydidae.
AGCUAAGGAAAAUGAAUAGCUUGCUGGAGAGAAGGCAUGUGACAACAACAUGAGCAGUAGUUUCUUGUGGAGAGGGAGGUGUAAGGCAGGAAGCUAGGAGGACAGUACUAAAGAAGCAGGAGGGAGCCCUGAAAGACACUGUACUAAACAAACUCUGAGAAGAGUCAGGGAGUAGGCCUAAGCAAGGCAGGUGAUAUAGGAAUUGGCCCUGGAAAAAGUGAAGCAGGCAGGUUGGGCUGAGGGCAGACAGCUCCCCCUUACACUGCUAGAGUUCUCUAGGAAGGCGGUGAGAAGACCCUUAGCAGUCCAAGCCAUUUUUGGGGCUGUAGAAAAAUAGACUGUAGAAAGCCCUACAAGGACUGGGAUGAAUAGGGCCAAAUCAUCCAAGCAGCUGGUGGAAGAGGAGCUCCAUGCACUUCCUCAUGAGGUAGAUUUCUUUUUCUAGCUAAUCUAAGGAAUAACAUAAAGACUCAAAGCCUCAGUGAGAUGCUUUUGGGCUACAAAAGGUGCAAAACUUCUCUCACAAGCCAGGAAUGAAAGUUUGAAUUGGGUGCCAGCCUAAUGUCUGUGGGAAGAUUAUUUCAAUCCCUUGGGAAAAGGAGCUCCUCCAUAAGAAGUUAAUACCCUUGGGACAGUAUAUUGGAAAGCUGCAUUUGAUCUCCCCUGACAAAUAUGACAGCAUAUCAUGUCUGAGAAGGUCCUGUCAGUAAAAGAGAAAACAAGUAUUUUGGAUUGUUAUUGCUUGUAUAGUGCAAAGAGUAGUCUCUUGUGGAGAUGUAAGGACCAUGGCUGCAGCAUAAUCUCCUAAACUGAGAGAGACUCUUCUAUGACUUGGCUUAGGCCCAUCAACACAGACCAGUUGCAUUAGAAGACAUUUUAACAUGAUCUCCAACAAGACGGCCAGUAAUCCUGCUUCUUCUGGUGUAGGAGAUGUUGACUGACAAAUGGCUUAUCCUGGCUUGCUCCUUUUUAGGCCAGUGAGGUGAUGGCCUGAAAGCAAGGAAGAUUGCUGACAUCCAUCUUUGCCACGUUGUUCAUUAAAGGCCUGAUCCAAAGCCCUCUGAAGUCACAGGGAGGGUUUUUUCCCAUUGACUGCAAUGAGUUUUGGAUCAGGCCCGAAAUUUGAAUUUGCAUUUGGUCACUUGUCCAUUCUCAUAGACUAGAGAUGUACACACUGUUCACAUCCAUAUAUUAAAAAUUGGUGUUCCCCAGAAUUAAACCAAACCAAAUCCGGAUUGAGGCCAGUAGUGAACAUUUUAAAAACACACUCAGCUGCGUGUUUUUGAAGUCAUAUGAAAGUGUAAAUUCAAUCAAAAGAAUAAGGUUUAAUGGUGCUGGGAUUUCACCCUGAUUGUUUACCAAUGUAGUCUAUCCCAUACUUAAUUUGGUACUUAGGACAACAAUCAUCAAAGAUAUAUACAUCUGAUGCAGUGGCUUUAUUUAACCUACAUGAAGGGCACUGCAAUUCUAUAUAAUCUUGGGCCAGGACAUUUGGAUCUAGAUCUGAAUGUUUAAUCCUCACUUUGGGCAUAUCCAGAUCUGGGGUAUUGGUUUUGUGUAUUGGAGCCAUAAAAGCCAAUUAUGAAGUUAAAUUACAGAUGCAGGUCUGUAUUCAGUGUAUACAAUGUCAUUGUCUGCUAAGCAGUGGUCCUCAAACAUCUAGUUAAAAAGGUUUCCUUUCCAUAAUUUGCUGCACACACGGUAUACAGCAUGAUAGCCAGGAGUCCAGCCAGUACCCUUAUCAUCCACAGGCAGCAGUUCUGCCAGGGUGAGCUAUUGUAAAAGGAAAUCUCACAGGUACUGGGGUAAGCUUUUCUCAGCUGGAAGCUGAUCCAGCUUUCUGUUGCCAAAUGCUGUGUCAGCCAAUUCACUUAGACUUAUCCAAUUACACACAAGUUGUUUAUAUAUACAGCAUUCAACACUUCCAGUAAGUUUUUCUGUGAUUGUGAUGCAUUUAAUGCUUAAUGAUACAGUGAGACUAAUAGGACAAAGAGGCUCACACAGAAAUCUGAGUGGUGCAGGCAGCACUAAGUUACAGGCAUCAUCGUUUUUAAAAGACUUUGAAGAGGAAAACAAGUGUAUUUGGAUUCAUGUUUCCCCCUAUACACCCCUGUAACACUUACUAGUUCUAAUGAGUAGUCCAAAUCAAUGCUCCUUUUGUGGGGGGGCUUCUGAAUCCAAACUAAAUUGUGUUCCCAAAAUUUGCAGAUGGCCUUCUAGCUCAGGGGAAAGGAUCUGAACAAAGCAUGGGUACUUUGAAAUUUGGGAUCUGAAUUUCUUGUGUCAGGUCCGUCUCUAAUUAUUUCCUGUGCAAGUUAUAUUUAUGUACUGGAGGGAAUGCUAGAACUCCUCCUUGCAACCAUGGCAAUGAUUUUGGGUUGUUUUUUUGGUUCAAGCGUGUGUAUGUGUACAAAUUUUAUGUAAUUUUAUUGAGGAGACUGCAUUCUGUGUGUGUCUCAUUUAAACUGCAUGAAAUGCCAAGACUGUCAGGGUAUAAAUAACAAGGGGAAAUAGAAUCUCUUAUAUUGCUUUCUGAGAACAUAACUUGCCCUAAAAUUUAGUUUUAUAUUUUAAGCACACUCAGAUGGAAUAGUAACUUGGAUUACAGAGAUACUUAACUUUACAGGCUGGAGGAAUAUCUUAAAUAAUGUUGUUAAGACGUAUGUCAAGUAGAGGAUGAUUAUAGGAAGAAGGGAUCUGGGCUGAACAAAUUUUAAACUUGCACAAACCUGUCAAAAAUGUUUUAUUGUCAGAUGUAUUAUACUACUGUGAUUAAUGUGAAAUGGAAAUACAUUAUUGUGUGUGAUAUGUAUGCAUGUUGCAGAUCCAUUAAGAAUAGUCAUGUGAUUUAUUUGUAUGAAAUGUCAUAUUAAAUGCUAAAAAUACACAUAAUGUUAAAACUGAGGUGCAUUCCAAUAAAAACAAGGAAAUUAUGAGAUAGGGCAGCCUUACAUCAAUUUAGCUCAUUCCCAAAUGACUGAGGUAUUGCAGCAUCUACACUGAAUGAUCUUUUGUAUAGUAGGUUAUAUUUUCAAAAGUGCACAGCUGUGGGUGCAGUUUUCCAUAUGAAAAUGUUGUAAUAUCCAGUUUUCUGCAGCUAUGCAUUUGGGAAUGUAUAUGCACACACAUUUGUAUCCAAUUCACCUAUUUCCAUAGCCCAAAAUUUAGACAUGGAAGACUGCUCUAAGGAUUUGAAAGGCUGGGUUGAAGCCCCUUUAAAAUUUGUUCUAAUGGGGAUACAUGCAAAAUCAUUUGGUAUGCAAAAAGUACUCUAUUUCUCCAUACCUAAAAGAGCAAACCACUUAUUUCAUGCAGAAAACCGCCUUUUGAGGUAAACAAUAAAACGGAGCAAACGUUAGAUGCUGUUUGUGAGUACCUGACAAACACCAAUGAACUUAUUCUUAUGCCCCUUUGAGAGAUAGAGAAGUGUUGUUGUUCUCAUUUUAUAUAUUAUCGCACUACAUUCAUAAAUGGCCCAUGCUCAUUAUUUUAGAGCUCUGUUUGGAUGGCAUCUGCCACAUUUGUGCCAUGACUGCUUUUGUAUAAUGAUCUCAGGUUCCCUUAUUAACGUUCUCCUUGCAGCAGAAAAAUAGAGCUCUCUAAUAUGAAUUAUAGAUACAUCAAAUGUAGUACAGGACUGCUACAAGAAUGGUCACAAAGGAGGAAAGCAGGCCAUUCGACAAACUGCUAGCUCCUCAUGCAGUAAAGACUUCAAUACAGUACAUGAAAAAGGUCUAUGCGUAAGCCAAAGUGUAAAAUCAUUACUAAGCACUUUUGCUAAGUGUUUUAAUUUAUGAGGGAGCUAUACUUUCCAGAGCCAUUACUCUAUAAGACUUAAAAUAUGACAGCAGUUUAACGAGAAACUAAACCAGUAAAUCCUCAACCCAUAAUAUUCUGAAUCUCACAUUGCCAUCGCUAUAGCAUGGCCUCUCUGACAGUUGCUGUGUAUGAUUAUAAUCCAUUGGAAUAAACUGAUACUGACAACUGCAACAUUUUAAAGCUUUCAUGCAGGUCAUACAAAUUGGCAGACUAACUUCUACCAUGUACCAA